GGCCUUUUGAUUAUAAUUUAAGGUCGGGCCUGCCCAAUGAAAAGUUUAAUGGCCGCGGUAUAUUAACUGUGCAAAGGUAGCAUAAUCAUUAGUUUUUUAAUUGAAAGCUGGAAUGAAGGGUUUAAUGAAAAAAGUUCUGUUUCUAUUUAAAUUUUUUAGAAUUUUAUUUUUAAGUUAAAAAGCUUAAAUAACUAUUGAAGACGAGAAGACCCUAUAGAGUUUUAUAUUUUUGAAAAUUUUUGUAUUUGGUAAUUUUUAUUUAGUUUUUGGAAGUAUUUAGUUGGGGUGACUAAAAAAUUAGAGAAACUUUUUUUUUUAUAAAACAUUAAUGUAUGAAUAAAUGAUCCUUUUUUUAGAUUAAAAGAAAAAAUUACCUUAGGGAUAACAGCGUAAUUUUUUUUAGAGUUCUUAUCAAAAGAAAAGAUUGCGACCUCGAUGUUGGAUUAAAAUAAGUUUUUAGUGCAGAAGCUAAAAAACUAGGUCUGUUCGACCUUUAAAUUUUUACAUGAUCUGAGUUUAGACCGGUAUGAG
Molecule: ribosomal RNA, 531 nt
Filed under: Dichromacalles fernandezi
Lineage: Eukaryota; Metazoa; Arthropoda; Insecta; Coleoptera; Curculionidae
Description: partial 16S ribosomal RNA
Rfam family: Bacterial large subunit ribosomal RNA
Source: RNAcentral